RNAcentral lists this ribosomal RNA (253 nucleotides) under uncultured bacterium. Its description in RNAcentral is "partial 16S ribosomal RNA". It matches the Rfam family "Bacterial small subunit ribosomal RNA", at positions 524 to 776 of the family's 1533-position model. The record is from RNAcentral.
UACGUAGGGGGCGAGCGUUAUCCGGAAUUACUGGGUGUAAAGGGAGCGUAGACGGUAAUGUAAGUCUGGAGUGAAAGGCGGGGGCCCAACCCCCGGACUGCUCUGGAAACUAUGUUACUAGAGUGCAGGAGAGGUAAGCGGAAUUCCAUGUGUAGCGGUGAAAUGCGUAGAUAUAUGGAGGAACACCGGUGGCGAAAGCGGCUCUCUGGCCUGUAACUGACACUGAGGCUCGAAAGCGUGGGGAGCAAACAGG